This 73-nucleotide transfer RNA is filed under the name Neurospora crassa. RNAcentral's name for it is "tRNA-Ile (TAT) (tRNA-Ile-TAT-1-1)". It matches the Rfam family "tRNA". From Rfam's summary of the family: Transfer RNA (tRNA) molecules are approximately 80 nucleotides in length. Their secondary structure includes four short double-helical elements and three loops (D, anti-codon, and T loops). The record is from RNAcentral. RNAcentral also lists the same sequence under 8 other names. Lineage: Eukaryota; Fungi; Ascomycota; Sordariomycetes; Sordariales; Sordariaceae.
GCUCGGGUGACGCAGUGGUUAGCGUGUUGCUCUUAUAAUGCAAAGGUCGCGGGUUCAAGUCCCGCCUCGAGCA